CUGUUCCUACGGGGGGCAGCAGUGAGGAAUAUUGGUCAAUGGGCGGGAGCCUGAACCAGCCAAGCCGCGUGAGGGAAGAAGGUACAGCGUAUCGUAAACCUCUUUUGUCAGGGAACAAAGGCGGGGACUAGUCCCCGGAUGAGGGUACCUGAAGAAAAAGCAUCGGCUAACUCCGUGCCAGCAGCCGCGGUAAUACGGAGGAUGCGAGCGUUAUCCGGAUUUACUGGGUGUAAAGGGAGCGUAGACGGCGUGCCAAGUCUGAUGUGAAAGGCCGGGGCUCAACCCCGGGACUGCAUUGGAAACUG
Molecule: ribosomal RNA, 305 nt
Filed under: uncultured bacterium
Lineage: Bacteria
Description: bacterial SSU rRNA
Rfam family: Bacterial small subunit ribosomal RNA
Source: RNAcentral